This 461-nucleotide ribosomal RNA is filed under the name uncultured bacterium. RNAcentral describes it as "partial 16S ribosomal RNA". It matches the Rfam family "Bacterial small subunit ribosomal RNA", at positions 28 to 507 of the family's 1533-position model. The record is from RNAcentral.
GGUGAACGCUGGCGGCGUGCCUAAGACAUGCAAGUCGAACGAUCGUCUUCGGACGGUAGUGGCGCACGGGUGAGUAACGCGUAACGGAUCUGCCCCCAAGUUCCUAAUAACCCUCCGGAAGGAGGUCCAAGACACGAUGUGCUGUCCCCUCCAGUGGAGCCAGUAAAGGCUUUCCCGCUUGGGGGUGGGGUUGCGUUCCAUCAGCUAGGUGGUGGGGUCAAGGCCUACCAUGGCAACGACGGAUAACCGACCUGAGAGAGUGGGCGGUCACAGGGGCACUGAGACACACGUGCCGCACCUGCGGGGGGCAGCAGUUAAGAGUCGAACGCAAUGGACGAAAGUCUGGGGGGGGGACGGCGCGUGAGGGAUGAGGGUUUUCGGGUCGUAAGCCUAGAAAACAGGGACGAGAAACGCGGAAGGGGGAGGAGGGUACCUGAGUAAUAGCACCGGCUAACUCCGUG